CAUGACUUUUACAAUGAAGUGUCCUGGGUUUACCUUUGUUUUUCUUAUAGUGUCAGUUUACUGGGCUGGUACUGAAGGUCAAACACUGACUGAGACUGAAUCAGUGAUUAAAAGGCCUGGAGACUCCCACAGACUGACCUGUACAUACUCAGGAUUCAGCAGUGAUAUUCAUGCUGUUUGGAACAGACAGGCUGCUGGAAAAGGACUGGAGUGGAUUGCUUUUAUUGAGAGUGAUAGCAGCAAAAUCUACUACUCUCAGUCAUUCAGAGGCCGCUUCACCAUCUCCAGAGACAACAGCAGAAAGCAGGUGUAUCUGCAGAUGAACAGCUUGACGACUGAGGAUUCAGCUGUUUAUUAUUGUGCCAAAGAGCCACAGUGACACAAACCAUCAGCA
Molecule: non-coding RNA, 394 nt
Organism: Oreochromis niloticus (Nile tilapia)
Lineage: Eukaryota; Metazoa; Chordata; Actinopteri; Cichliformes; Cichlidae
Source: the annotation of a RefSeq genome assembly